UACGUAGGGGGCUAGCGUUGUCCGGAUUUAUUGGGCGUAAAGAGCUCGUAGGCGGCUUGUCGCGUCGACUGUGAAAACUCGGGGCUCAACUCCGAGCUUGCAGUCGAUACGGGCAGGCUAGAGUUCGGUAGGGGAGACUGGAAUUCCUGGUGUAGCGGUGAAAUGCGCAGAUAUCAGGAGGAACACCGGUGGCGAAGGCGGGUCUCUGGGCCGAUACUGACGCUGAGGAGCGAAAGCGUGGGGAGCGAACAGG
This 253-nucleotide ribosomal RNA is filed under the name uncultured bacterium. Its description in RNAcentral is "partial 16S ribosomal RNA". It matches the Rfam family "Bacterial small subunit ribosomal RNA", at positions 524 to 776 of the family's 1533-position model. The record is from RNAcentral.